RNAcentral lists this ribosomal RNA (372 nucleotides) under uncultured organism. RNAcentral describes it as "bacterial SSU rRNA". It matches the Rfam family "Bacterial small subunit ribosomal RNA", at positions 526 to 896 of the family's 1533-position model. The record is from RNAcentral.
CAGAGGGGGCAAGCGUUAUUCGGAAUUAUUGGGCGUAAAGGGCGCGUAGGCGGCUUGGCAAGUGGAAGGUGAAAUCCCUCGGCUUAACCGAGGAACUGCCCUCCAAACUGCUUUGCUUGAGGCCGGGAGAGGCGAGUGGAAUUCCCAGUGUAGCGGUGAAAUGCGUAGAUAUUGGGAGGAACACCAGUGGCGAAGGCGGCUCGCUGGACCGGUUCUGACGCUGAUGCGCGAAAGCGUGGGGAGCAAACGGGAUUAGAUACCCCGGUAGUCCACGCUGUAAACGAUGAGUGCUUGGUGUAGCGGGUAUCGACCCCUGCUGUGCCGAAGUCAACACAUUAAGCACUCCGCCUGGGGAGUACGGUCGCAAGGCUG